RNA transcript from Siniperca chuatsi (mandarin fish), 5993 nucleotides. It is a transcript of the gene named SET domain containing 7, histone lysine methyltransferase, with no coding region annotated. The record is from RefSeq and is a predicted model, not a curated record. The transcript is spliced from 5 exons. Lineage: Eukaryota; Metazoa; Chordata; Actinopteri; Centrarchiformes; Sinipercidae.
AACUCAGGCUAGAAAAGCUUGUCAGUUGUCAUAUCAUGUCACGCCCAGAUGACGCCCCAUGGGUGACAGGAAAAGCAGUCAAAGCUGUGGUGAUCCAGCAGCCUCGUGCAGCAUGGACAGCGAUGAUGAAAAUAUAGAAGAGGUCGUGGAAGGCCCAUUGGAUGAAGAUGGUCAGCCCUAUGGGCUCUGCACAGUAACCUACUCAUCCAGUGAUCGUUUUGAAGGACACUUCACCCACGGAGAGAAGAAUGGCAAGGGCAAGUUCUUCUUCUUUGACGGAAGUACCCUGGAGGGUUUCUAUGUAGAUGAUACCCUGCAGGGCCAGGGGGUGUAUACAUAUGAAGAUGGUGGUGUCCUCUAUGGGACGUAUGUGGAUGGUGAGCUCAACGGCCCUGCUCAGGAGUUCGAUGGAGAAGGCCACCUGGUGUUCAAGGGCCAGUACAAAGACAACAACCGCUGUGGGGAAUGCUGGGUCUACUACCCUGAUAGAGGCUGUGUGUUUGGGGAGGUGAAUGAGGACGGGGAGAUGACUGGUGAAUCUGUAGCAUACAUCUACCCUGAUGGACACACGGCUCUCUAUGGAAGCUUUGUGGACGGAGAGCUAAUCAAGGCUCGCCUUGCCACCCUGAUCUCCAACGAGAGUGGAAGGCCACGCUUCGAAAUCACACCCAACAGUAAGUACAGAUGUCAUCUCUAUGAUGGGAAAGGUGGUACUAGUUUUUAGAGGUUGUACAGGGGACCUUUUUGCAUAUGAGCUUCAGGAGCUAAUGGAUCCAUUUAGAAUUGGAAUCGGUCACAUUUGUUUUUCGAGGUGUGAAUGUUCGAUCUAGGAGUGAGUAAUAUGAAUAAAGUCUUCUAUCCCAGUGUAAUUUUAUAUUCCGAUAUAGAGAUACAUAGUGAUGGAGUACAUUUCCUGGAAAUUCAACUGAGAAACUGUUGUGAGAAAUAAUAUAAGCAAAUGGGUUUGAAACACCUAACAAAUUAAGAUACUUCAUCAUAUUGAGCGGAUACAGUGGAUCCAAUAGUGCCAUAAAUGGUCUCAUACAACCAGAGAUGUUAACGGGUUAGUUGGCACAGUAUAAAGAGUAAACAGAAGCAAAUCUCUGACAGUUGACACAUUUUGAGAAUCUUAUCGAAUAUAUCAUCAUAUUGGCCAAACCUAGUGAAGAGUCUUGACAUCCUUCUGCAGUGUGAGUUGCUGAACUUCAAACAUGUUGUGUCCAUAGCAUGUACACUACGUUUUGCUAAAAACAGUGCAAUUCUUCACUUUAGCUAGAUGUGUAAAUUUAGGUUAUAUCUCUCUCUUUCUCUCUCGCUCUCUCAAAACCUAACACAGCAGCGGCGGAUGGCUGCCCACCAUUGAGUCUGGUUCUGUCCAAGGUUUCUGCUCUCUUAAAGGAAGUUUUUCCUUGCCACUGUCGCCAAAUGCUUGCUCAUGGUGGGAUUUGUUGGGUCUCUGUAAUUAAUAUUAUAAAGAGUACGGUCUAGACCUGCUCUAUAGGAAAAGUGCAAUGAGCUUCAUAACUUCUGUUAUGAAUUGGCGCUAUAUAAAUAAAAUUGAAUUGAAUUGACAGUACCAGUGGUGGCUGGUGGGGAGGAGGACAGGAGGAAAACCAACCCACGGCCUGAUGUUAUUUUACACUAGUUGGCUACUUAUCUUUACUUUAUUAUGUUCAACAAAAAAUUAAGCAUUAAAACAAUGGCUUACAAGAUUUCUUAAAAACAACAUAAUUUAAUUCAGUCCUUUUGUUUCCAGAAUAACCAUACAGGCCUAAUGCAGAAGAUAUGAGUAUUUAUUAAGGAUGUGAGAUGUAACAAGAAGCAGGCCAGUGUUCAACAGCUAUGAGGGAAAGUGUGGUGACUGAUGAUGCCCGCUAACUGGUUAGCUGGCCUGAUUUCCAAUUUGACAAACUAAGCUUACUUCCAUUUCCAAUAUUUUAUUCCCAACGAUGCAUUAUCACAAGUACAGGUUCACCAGGGCAUGUAUAAAGUAGUGUGUGGUUUACAAAUAUACAUAUUAAUAAAUAGCUGGCAAUUAAUAACACACCAGCUCUAUUUCUAGGCUACAAAGGAAAUAUCAAAGUAAUUAUCACAACACCAAUGGUAAAUACCAUAGACUGUAUAUAAAGAUGGACGACAUGUCAGCUCCCUAAAAGUGAAGCCAAAACAUCUCUUUCGCCCCCCUGGUGGCUGGCUGCAGUAUAGGUCAUAAACCCCACCCCCUCCAUGUUAGUCAAUGGGACAUGGGCCAAACUAAAAACUCAAAGUACACGUCAAAUAAAUUUUUCCCAAAGAUGGUUUCUGUCGGUUUAGGUAGUUCUUAUCAUGCUGAUGUAUGUUCAAGUUUGGUUUUAAUUAUUAGAUAGUUAUUUGAUGCUAUAAAACAGGGUUUUCACAUCAUGAUUGACAGCUGAGCUCUGCUUGCAAUUGAGUCAGCUGGGUGUAUAAGCGGGACCUCGAUACCACUGCUCCAACUCCGAUCACUACUGCACACUCUGGCUCCGAAUGAGGUCAAAAGCACAAGAUGGCUGCUCCCGUAUCCGGGAUAUUUUGGCUUCAUUACAGUCUAUAAGGAGGAAGUGGAGACGUGUUGUCCAUCUAUGUACUGUAUACAGGCUGUGUUUCAUUAGUCUUUAAACAUGGCCUCGUUGACUUCACUUCACAAAAACUAAUGCAGCUAAUAAAGUGUUGACAUAUUGCAAUUAUCCGCAGAAGACUCCUUUGCCUCAUUGAAAUGAGUCUGCCGGUAUUUCUGAUGAUUUGUAAAAAGCAGUAUAGCACUAAGCCUACAACUGGCAGUUGAUCCAUGAUAGUUUGGGCUGCAAGUGUACAAGGGCAGGUGUGUUCCAUUUAAAUCCCCCUGCCCUUCUCCCGCUCACUUUCCCUCUGGCCUCCGUGCGAUGUAUGCUGUUACGUAAUACCAAGGGCUGAGGGGAAGUGAAUGAGGGGAAGUGGAACUACUAAUGAUCGCCAUUUUGCCAGUGCGUCACUCAACCCAACUCCCGGAUAACCAAAAAUGGGCAAAGAGGUGGAGCGUGGGUGGAGCUGAGGUGCCUGGUUGCUGAAACACGCCCACCUAGCUUGAAGUUAUCAAGCUAGCUAAGGCUAAGAAGCUAGGCUAUAUGCUACUCUGCAUUGCUAGUUGGCUAAAACCCUAUGGUAUGCAGUUGGCAGUCUAUGGUUGGUACCCAGUCAUCGUCCCAGCUUACACUUGAGGUAAGUUAACCUGAAACUAUACAACAAAUGAAAUAAUGAUUUAUCUGUUAUUGAGAUUAUACACGUGAGAUUUAAAAUGCCUGAACGUUUUUUAAAUAUACAAUUACGGUAAUUUGCAACACUAGAUUUUGUCGAGACUUGCAGAAAUUUGGCCAGUGUUACCUGAGUUAGUGUAACGGUGACUUAAUACAUGUUUAACGAACAAUUUGAAGCAAAUCAAUUAACCAGAAUUUAGAUUUCCACAUAACUUUAGUUGCAAGUCAUUUACUUGAUUUUAUAUAUAUACUUUUAAUAAGUUCACGUUAAUAAGCUAACGUUAAGUUACCUACAUGUGAUUACAUAGUCAUAAUUUUUUUUUUUUUAGCCUAUUAAGGCCAAACAAUAACUUAAAUAUAUAACAAAUAUCAAACAAGAAAUUUGAAAAUCUUCAGUUCGUUUCUCAUUGCGGAUGCGUCGGUGCAUAAUAGCUUACAGAUAGAUUGUAAUUUUUCACACCGCUAUUUUGAUUUGUGUACUGCUACCGACAGCGCUGUGUGAGAUAUGAGAUAUGAUAUGAUGAGAAAGAAAGGUGCUUUUAUAUUUGUUACAAGACGUUUGUCUUUCAGUCCUUGUUGAAAUCAUGGCCACCUGUGAUGCCUCCACCACGCCUGCUACACAUAGCAUAAACUUGUGGAUCAUUGGUGAGAGAGCUGCAUUGACCUUGGGAAGCAAACUCAGUGUGCUGCACAUCUGUGUCUGUUGGUUUGGCUUGGGUGGACUGUGGUGGAAAGGCCUUCUCCCCUUCUUUUCCCAGUCCCUGCGAGGAAGAGCAGUACCGGAUCUCCUCAUCAUCCACUGUGGUGGCAACGACAUGGGGGAGGUCAGCAGUGUCAAGCUGGUCAACAUGAUGAAGGAGGACCUGCACCAGCUUCACCUCUGGCACCCUGGAAGGCUAGUGCCAAUCCGGUGAAGCUUGACAAGGCUAGGAAAUUUGUCAACAGUGUUCUAGCUACAUUUGUUCGUAGCUGAAAUGGUGUUAUGAUUGAGCACCCUCACGUUAGACAUGACAGUCCUGGGCUAUUUUUGAAAGAUGGAGUUCAUCUCACACCUAGAGGAAAUUAUAUGUUUUUAAGUACAGUAGCUAAUUGCUGUAAAGACCACCUCCAAAUGCAGUGAACUGCUUACAGUUGGCAGUGUCACUGCUUUUGAAUUUGGCCUUUAGGACCCAUUUUGUCACACCUAAACAUAGCCCUGACUGUCAUGGCUAAUGUUAAGUUUAUUUUUUAUGUUCAUUAUGGUUAUUAAAAAAUAACAUCUGUAGCCAUAACACUGUUACCACCUCUGCUCUUCCUCAUUCCUACAAUCCCAUCCUUCAUCCUCUUUUCCCCCUACGACCCCAUGCACUCUGCUGCUCUCUGGGCAUAGCCAUUACCUCUUGCACAGGCAACAGUCUGUUGAUUUUAUUUUGAUAAAUAGGCAGUGUUGUAGUACUUGAGAUCAAGUUGGUUUCAAGACCACUUUUUGAAGGUCUCAGUCUUGCCUCGGAAUCGACCGCAUUUUUACUCAGCCUUGUCUCAGUCUCGGACAAAGAGGAUUUGGGAUUUUAUUUCGAGACUACUAUCACUAAAUUGCCUGUGCAUUGUCUGAUUUAUUUGUUAAUAUUAUUACUGUGAUUGAAUGUAAAAUUUCCUGCUUCAAAUCCAACCAAUAACUUGACUAAUUUCUAAUUUGAAAUUUUUGUACUGUUAAUGGCUGUCACCCCUCCCUGCCCCCCUUCACAAGCUAUCCAAGAAAAUGAAUGCGGGGGACAGGAGAAGAUACUGUGGCUGUCUAGGAGGAGAUGUCAGCCAAAUCUUCUGUAAUAAAAAUUGGCUACCCAAACCACAAAGAUCAUAAAUAUAAAUGUUUAAACUUUUUUGUCAAUAUGGACAUGCUCGAUCCAUUCCUCGAUUAUUUAUAUUCCUUUAGUUUGUAAAGGUCCACUGAUCAAAAGAAUCAAAAUGGUUUUUCUAAAAAUGAAUCAAAAUUUUAACUACGGUAGCCUUUGGCUUUCAUCCUUUCAAAGGUUGCUCGCUCUCUCUCUCGCUCUCUCUCUCUCUCUCUCUGUCUGUCUGUCUGUCUGUCUGUCUGUCUGUCUGUGCAUUGGAGCUAGAUCAAAUGAACGAUUCGUAAUUGAUAUGUUAUUCGAUAGCCUAAUAUUCCUGCUGGUUUAAAUAAACAAUUUGAUAGUAUUUCCCAUCUAUGCUGAGCAAAAGUUUUGUGCGAAAGGAAUUAAAGGCCUGUUCCAAAUAUAGGCAGGUUGAGUUCAGUGAUUGAAGCAAAUAAAAGCCUGGGCUAUUAAUUGAAGUUUUAAGGUAUGUACAGUAUAUACUGUAUGUUUCAUGGCGGUAGUUUCAGUUGCUUGCCAGCUAUUUGUCACAUAGCUAGGUGCGCAAGCUACCUAAUUUAUUUAACAUAUAUUGAGAGAUGUAAUGCUAGCUAAUGCAGUAUUAACGUGGUGUGGUGACAAAUUGUUGUUGUUAAGUUACAUUUUUGCUUAGUCAUAGUCUUGACUCGGUCUUGCCCUGUCUUGGUCUUGAUUUGAUCUCAACCCCUUAAAGUCUUGGUCUUGUCUUGGUCUCGAUACACUCUGGUCUUGGUCAUGACUUGGUCUUGGUUUAGGUGGUCUUGACUACAACACUGUAAAUAGGUUUACUUUUACAUUUAUAGUAUUAAAUAUUGUCCAUCUUUUUGUGUUAUGUCCUUUUUAUUAAAAAAAAACAUGGUUCACAUUUGAAUAAAUUCUAUUUAUAUUUGCA